Molecule: ribosomal RNA, 438 nt
Filed under: uncultured bacterium
Lineage: Bacteria
Description: bacterial SSU rRNA
Rfam family: Bacterial small subunit ribosomal RNA
Source: RNAcentral
GCACAACGCGAAGAACCUUACCUGGGUUUGACAUACACCAGAAAGCUGUAGAGAUACAGCCCCCCUUGUGGUUGGUGUACAGGUGGUGCAUGGCUGUCGUCAGCUCGUGUCGUGAGAUGUUGGGUUAAGUCCCGCAACGAGCGCAACCCUUGUCCUGUAUUGCCAGCGGGUUAUGCCGGGGACUUGCAGGAGACUGCCGGGGUCAACUCGGAGGAAGGUGGGGAUGACGUCAAGUCAUCAUGCCCCUUAUGUCCAGGGCUUCACACAUGCUACAAUGGCGCGUACAGAGGGCUGCGAUACCGUGAGGUGGAGCGAAUCCCUUAAAGCGCGUCUCAGUUCGGAUUGGGGUCUGCAACUCGACCCCAUGAAGUCGGAGUCGCUAGUAAUCGCAGAUCAGCAACGCUGCGGUGAAUACGUUCCCGGGUCUUGUACACACCG